UAUACCUACUGAGGAAUCAAUUUGGAUUGAUUUAAAUUAUUUCAAAGGUCAAUUUCCUUUUUUUCAACCAUGAGGACAAGGUUGUCCCUUCAAAGGCCAACAAUGAUGGGCAGGGAGAACAAGGCCGUGAGAAAAUGCCUAAAUGGCAGGUUUAUUCUAGAAGAUUUGGCAAAGGUACAGUAGCAACAUGGGAGGAUCGCACCUAGGCAAGAACCGGCUUAUAAAUAAGAGAGAAUUGCAUGAAAUUGGCAUGACCAGCCCUGAUUAUUCUUCUGUUAUUUUUUAUCAGCAUAAAGCGUGGGGGAAAAGCCUGUUGUUGCAGUCAUAGCUGUGGGAAGGGAAUUGAUGAUUUUAUUUUUUUGUUACUGAGAUUCAUUUGUAUCAGAUCUAGUUUAUUAAUAUCAAAUUUCUGUCAAAUGCCUCCAUUUUUACUCCUCCAAUUCUUUAUUGUGAAGUUAUUUGGAUUGAUUGGCUCUAUUAAAGAAGAGCCUCAGGCACGCCCAAGGCUCCAGGUGCACGAGGCUCAGAGGUCAGCUCCUUGACACUCCCCAGGCAAGCGAUGAUUCACAGACACACUCAGGCACACCUUGCACCUAGCCUCACCUCGGCAAUCUAGACACCCUAUUCAGAGUUGGCUGGCUUUUUCCUCACUCCAAAUGCAGAUACAACAACUCCCAAUAAAGAAAAGAAAACAAAGAAGAAGAACAAGAAAGAGGAAGGAGGAGCAGCCCUGAAAAAACAGAGGAGAAAGAACGUGUACUUAACUUUGUGUGCUCCUACAGAUCAAUUACUUUUUAUUCUUCUUCUUCGUCUUCUUCUUCUACUCCUUUCUUUAUUUUUUUUUUCUUUUGGAUUCUUCUUCCCCUCCUCCUCAUGUCUUUCUUUCUUCUUUUAGGUUUUCUAAUCUCUCUUUUCUAUGUUGCUAUGCUGCCCAAUUUCACUUUGAUUGCCGACACUGGAGAUCUCAAACACUCAUGCAUGUUUUAUUUCAUAUUAAAAAUUAAGUAAUUUAUUUUUAAUGUGAUUGUUAAAUUUGGUUCAGGCCUAACUCACCCCAAAAGCUAGCUCAAGGGGGAGGAGUGCCUAUGGCCCAUAUAAGGGGCACAUUACCCCUUUCCACAACCGAUGUGGGAUUCAACACACCCCCUUACGCCUAGAAUUUUCACCGGUGCGUGGCACAUUUAUGGGGCGCCCAACAUCGGAUGCAGAGGCUCUGAUACUAUGUUAAAUUUGGGCAAGGCCUAACUCACCCAAAAGCUAGCUCAAGGAGGAAGAGUGCCCAUGACCCAUAUAAGGGGUACAUUACCCCUUUCCACAUCUGACGUGGAAUUCAACACACCCCUUCACGCCCAGAAUUUUACUGGUGUGCGUGACACAUUUAUCGGAGGCCCAACAUCGAAUGGGGAGGUUCUGAUACCAUAUUAAAUUUAGGUCAGGCCUAACUCACCCCAAAAGCUAGUUCAAGGGGGAGGAGUGCCUAUGGCCCAUAUAAGGGGCACAUUACCCCUUUCCACAACCGAUGUGGGAUUCAACACACCCCCUCACGCCUAGAAUUUUUACUGGUGCGUGGCACAUUUAUGGGGCGCCCAACAUUGGAUGGAGAGGCUCCGAUACCAUAUUAAAUUUGGGCCAGGCCUAACUCACCCAAAAGCUAGUUCAAGGAGGAAGAGUGCCCAUGACCCAUAUAAGGGGCACAUUACCCCUUUCCACAUCCGACGUGGGAUUCAACACACCCCUUCACGCCCAGAAUUUUACUGGUGUGCAUGACACAUUUAUGGGAGGCCCAACAUCGGAUGGGGAGGCUCUGAUACCAUAUUAAAUUUGGGUCAGGCCUAACUCACCCCAAAAGCUAGCUCAAGGGGGAGGAGUGCCUAUGGCCCAUAUAAGGGGCACAUUACCCCUUUCCACAACCGAUGUGGGAUUCAACAGUGAUCAAAGAUUUUAAGUAUUUUGAAUUACUUUUACAACAAUAAAAUCCUUGUUAAUGCCAUUAUAUUAUCAAAUUACAUACUAUUGUAUAAUAUUAAAUUUAUUUAAUUUCUUAUUGCCAUUAAAUUACUUAUUAUCAAAGCUCUCAAAAUCAAAGUCAAUAUAUUCAAGAACUUCCUACACUCUUUUUGGUGGUAAUAAGUUUAAUUCUAUAAUAUCUAGGUAUCUAUCAACAUACCUAGUUAUUUGAUAGUGAAUUGAUUAACGUUAAUGAUGUCUUAGAUUGAUGAAUUUAAUGUCCUUAUUUGAUUUAUACUUAUUAUUUAGUUAUUCUCUUAGUUUUAGUUUUAAUUGUAAUUAUAAUUAUAUUUUUAAAUAUCUAUUUAUUUUAUAAAAUUUUCAAGUUUUUCAACUGUGACCAUCACAUUAUUGUGUCACAGGCCUCUUUCAAUUACACACAACUUGAUACGAAUUCAUGAUAGAGAUACAAG
This 2420-nucleotide long non-coding RNA is filed under the name Manihot esculenta (cassava). Its description in RNAcentral is "long non-coding RNA (MESC_LNC010906)". Lineage: Eukaryota; Viridiplantae; Streptophyta; Magnoliopsida; Malpighiales; Euphorbiaceae. The record is from RNAcentral.